RNAcentral lists this transfer RNA (77 nucleotides) under Rhizobium phage RHph_TM21B. RNAcentral's name for it is "tRNA-Ile". It matches the Rfam family "tRNA". From Rfam's summary of the family: Transfer RNA (tRNA) molecules are approximately 80 nucleotides in length. Lineage: Duplodnaviria; Heunggongvirae; Uroviricota; Caudoviricetes; Kleczkowskaviridae. The record is from RNAcentral. RNAcentral also lists the same sequence under 1 other name.
AUCAGAUUAGCUCAGCUGGUUAGAGCACUCGACCGAUAAUCGAGAGGUCACAAGUUCGAACCUUGUAUCUGAUACCA